This 495-nucleotide ribosomal RNA is filed under the name uncultured bacterium. Its description in RNAcentral is "bacterial SSU rRNA". It matches the Rfam family "Bacterial small subunit ribosomal RNA", at positions 903 to 1397 of the family's 1533-position model. The record is from RNAcentral.
AAAUGAAUUGACGGGGGCCCGCACAAGCGGUGGAGCAUGUGGUUUAAUUCGAUGCAACGCGAAAAACCUUACCUACCCUUGACAUCCUAGGAAUCUUUCAGAGAUGAGAGAGUGCCUUCGGGAACCUAGAGACAGGUGAUGCAUGGCUGUCGUCAGCUCGUGUCGUGAGAUGUUGGGUUAAGUCCCGUAACGAGCGCAACCCUCGUCCUUAGUUGCUACCAGGUUAAGCUGAGCACUCUAGGGAGACCGCCGGUGAUAAACCGGAGGAAGGCGGGGAUGACGUCAAGUCAUCAUGUCCCUUACGGGUAGGGCUACACACGUGCUACAAUGGACAGUACAGAGGGUUGCCAAGCCGCGAGGUGGAGCUAAUCUCAAAAAACUGUUCGUAGUCCGGAUUGGAGUCUGCAACUCGACUCCAUGAAGUUGGAAUCGCUAGUAAUCGCAAAUCAGCAUGUUGCGGUGAAUACGUUCCCGGGCCUUGUACACACCGCCCGU